UACAGAGGGGGCAAGCGUUAUUCGGAAUUAUUGGGCGUAAAGAGCUCGUAGGCGGUUCGAUAAGUCGGACGUGAAAUCUCCACGCUCAACGUGGAGGGGCCGUUCGAUACUGUCGUGACUCGAGUCCGGUAGGGGAGUGUGGAAUUCCCGGUGUAGCGGUGAAAUGCGCAGAGAUCGGGAGGAACACCCGUAGCGAAGGCGGCACUCUGGGCCGGUACUGACGCUGAGGAGCGAAAGCGUGGGGAGCGAACAGG
RNAcentral lists this ribosomal RNA (254 nucleotides) under uncultured bacterium. Its description in RNAcentral is "partial 16S ribosomal RNA". It matches the Rfam family "Bacterial small subunit ribosomal RNA", at positions 524 to 776 of the family's 1533-position model. The record is from RNAcentral.